GAUCUCUCUCUCUCUCUCUCUAAUCCUAGAUUUAGAUCUGUUUCUAUCGAUCAACACAAUCGAACGGCGAUCUACUCCUAGAUCUGUUUCUAUAUUCUUGGAUUUGUUCUCUCCCUUGUAUUGUAUUCGAUUUCCAACUUCGAAUGAUUUUCAAGCGUUUCAAUCCAGAUCUGUGGGGUUCGAUUUUGCAAGCGAGAUCUAUAUCACUCUCCAUCUGUGUUCGUCUCUGUCAAUUCCAGAAAAUUGAGAUCCAGAUCUGAGAGAUUUCAUCAUAUUGACAGAAGAAAAAUGUCGAAAUACAGAAACAUGACAAAUCUAGCGACGAAAUCGAGUUUUGGAUAAAUCAAGGGCGAAGAUUCUCUCUCAAUCGCUGGAUCUCCUCUUGUGAGAAGAUGAUUGAUCUCGGCGGCGGCAGCGUAGUCGACGGCGGUGUGGGUGAUGGGAGUUAGGGUUUCUUAUUUAGGUUAAAUUCAUUAAGGGUAAAAUAGUCCAAAUGAGAUAACCUUUUAGAGAAGGGGCAAUUUUGAAAAUGGACAUGAGAAAAGUGGUAUUUUUGCUAA
Molecule: long non-coding RNA, 560 nt
Organism: Arabidopsis lyrata subsp. lyrata
Lineage: Eukaryota; Viridiplantae; Streptophyta; Magnoliopsida; Brassicales; Brassicaceae
Exons: 2
Source: RefSeq, a predicted model, not a curated record